CCUACGGGUGGCUGCAGUGGGGAAUAUUGGACAAUGGGGGGAACCCUGAUCCAGCCAUGCCGCGUGUGUGAAGAAGGCCCUCGGGUUGUAAAGCACUUUCAGUGAGGAAGAACGCCUGGUGGUUAAUACCCAUCAGGAAAGACAUCACUCACAGAAGAAGCACCGGCUAACUCCGUGCCAGCAGCCGCGGUAAUACGGAGGGUGCGAGCGUUAAUCGGAAUUACUGGGCGUAAAGCGCGCGUAGGUGGCUUGAUAAGCCGGUUGUGAAAGCCCCGGGCUCAACCUGGGAACGGCAUCCGGAACUGUCAAGCUAGAGUGCAGGAGAGGAAGGUAGAAUUCACGGUGUAGCGGUGAAAUGCGUAGAGAUCGGGAGGAAUACCAGUGGCGAAGGCGGCCUUCUGGACUGACACUGACACUGAGGUGCGAAAGCGUGGGUAGCAAACAGGAUUAGAUACCCUUGUAGUC
RNAcentral lists this ribosomal RNA (465 nucleotides) under Vreelandella stevensii. Its description in RNAcentral is "partial 16S ribosomal RNA". It matches the Rfam family "Bacterial small subunit ribosomal RNA", at positions 338 to 795 of the family's 1533-position model. The record is from RNAcentral. Lineage: Bacteria; Pseudomonadati; Pseudomonadota; Gammaproteobacteria; Oceanospirillales; Halomonadaceae.